UACGGAGGGUGCGAGCGUUAAUCGGAAUUACUGGGCGUAAAGGGCGCGUAGGCGGUUCGGUCAGUCGGAUGUGAAAGCCCCGGGCUUAACUUGGGAAUUGCAUUCGAUACUGCCGGGCUAGAGUGUGGUAGAGGGAAGCGGAAUUCCCGGUGUAGCGGUGAAAUGCGUAGAUAUCGGGAGGAACAUCAGUGGCGAAGGCGGCUUCCUGGACCAACACUGACGCUGAGGCGCGAAAGCGUGGGGAGCAAACAGG
RNAcentral lists this non-coding RNA (253 nucleotides) under uncultured bacterium. Its description in RNAcentral is "partial 16S ribosomal RNA". It matches the Rfam family "Bacterial small subunit ribosomal RNA", at positions 524 to 776 of the family's 1533-position model. RNAcentral also lists the same sequence under 1 other name. The record is from RNAcentral.